Molecule: non-coding RNA, 284 nt
Organism: Hydra vulgaris (swiftwater hydra)
Lineage: Eukaryota; Metazoa; Cnidaria; Hydrozoa; Anthoathecata; Hydridae
Source: RefSeq, a predicted model, not a curated record
AGACUUUAUUACAUUUAAAUUUGUAAGAAAAUGGCAGAUUCAAGUAAAAAGAAACAUUCAAGUAAAAAGAAAAGCAAAAAAUUAUUUUCUCACAAGUCUGCUAAUCAAUAUGAAGAAAUUUUUGAUGACAGGUCACAACACCAAAGUUUAAAGAAAAGAAAACACCUGUUUUAGUAAAACAAAUCGUUUGUAAAUUGCAACUCAGGAGCGUCAUCUGUAAAGUGUCACCCUAUAUUUGCUGACUUUUGAUCCCUUCCCUGUAAUGCACAUAAACAUAAAAAGUG